CUUGGUCAUUUAGAGGAAGUAACAGCGAGCAAGGUUUCCGUAGGUGAACCUGCGGAAGGAUCAUUACUGAAUUGUAAACAAGGGUUGUUGCUGGUCCUCAAAUGGGGACAUGUGCACGCUCUGUUCACACAUCCAAUCACACCUGUGCACCCUCUGCGGUUCUGUGGUCAAGGGGGGCUUUGCCUUCCUGUGCCGUGGUUCUGCUUCUUUACACACACACACUGUAACAAAGUCUUGUGGAAUGUAUGCCGCGUUUAACGCAAUACAAUACAACUUUCAGCAACGGAUCUCUUGGCUCUCGCAUCGAUGAAGAACGCAGCGAAAUGCGAUAAGUAAUGUGAAUUGCAGAAUUCAGUGAAUCAUCGAAUCUUUGAACGCACCUUGCGCCCUUUGGCCAUUCCGAAGGGCAUGCCUGUUUGAGUAUCAUGAACACCUCAACUCCUCAUGGUCUUCUAUGAUGAGCUUGGACUUUGGGGGUUUGCUGGCCCAUUCGGUCAGCUCCUCUCAAAUGAAUCAGCUUACCAGUGUUUGGUGGCACCACAGGUGUGAUAACGAUCUACGCUUGAGGUUUUCCACCAGGCAACCUUUCAGUAAUGGGGGUUCACUGGGGGCUCACAAAUGUCUUUCUUUCAGUGAGGACAGCUCUUUGAAUGUUUUGAUCUCAAAUCAGGUAGGACUACCCCGCUGAAACUUAAGCAUAUCAAUAAAGCGGAGGA
This 716-nucleotide ribosomal RNA is filed under the name uncultured Basidiomycota. RNAcentral's name for it is "eukaryotic LSU rRNA". The stretch from base 272 to 426 matches the Rfam family "5.8S ribosomal RNA". Lineage: Eukaryota; Fungi; Basidiomycota. The record is from RNAcentral.